GGAAGUAAAAGUCGUAACAAUUUCUCCGUUGGUGAACCAGCGGAGGGAUCAUUACCGAGUUUUUCUACUCCCAAACCCCUGUGAACUUAUACCUUUACUGUUGCUUCGGCGGGUUAACGCCCCGGAAGGCCCGCGAGGGCCGCCGGAACCAGGCGCCCGCCGGGGGACCCAAACUCUUGUAUCUUUUUUAUAGCAUGUCUGAGUGGAAUCAUAAACAAAUGAAUCAAAACUUUCAACAACGGAUCUCUUGGUUCUG
RNAcentral lists this unclassified non-coding RNA (256 nucleotides) under plant metagenome. RNAcentral describes it as "partial contains small subunit ribosomal RNA, internal transcribed spacer 1, and 5.8S ribosomal RNA". The stretch from base 1 to 54 matches the Rfam family "Eukaryotic small subunit ribosomal RNA", at positions 1778 to 1831 of the family's 1831-position model. The record is from RNAcentral.